GAGGAAGCCGGUUCGAAUCCGGCGCGGUCCCGCCACUGUGACCGCCGGCUCCAGGGCCGGCCGAGCCAGGAACUC
This 75-nucleotide non-coding RNA is filed under the name Streptomyces uncialis. Lineage: Bacteria; Bacillati; Actinomycetota; Actinomycetes; Kitasatosporales; Streptomycetaceae. The record is from RNAcentral.